Molecule: long non-coding RNA, 1010 nt
Filed under: Monodelphis domestica (gray short-tailed opossum)
Lineage: Eukaryota; Metazoa; Chordata; Mammalia; Didelphimorphia; Didelphidae
Description: lncRNA (ENSMODG00000040373.1)
Source: RNAcentral
GUGAAAGGGAUGACAAACUUAAAAAAGAUUUUUUUCCCAAUUGACUUCAAAGUUCAUAGUAUCUGUUUCUUGAAACAACUAGGCAAUAUAGGAUAUAAAGAGCAGGACAUGGAAUAAGGAAAACUUGAGGACAUAUGCUGCCUCAGAAACUUAUUAGCUGGUAUAUUCCAAAGGGCUAAAGUUCAUGUUUGAAAACUUAUGGGAAAGCAAUUCCACUAGUAAUUGAAUUCUUGAUGCCAGUAUCAAAGGAUAAAACAAAACAGAAAUCUUUUGCUCUUCAACUUCUAUCUUUUUCAAUUCAAUCAUAUUGCAACAAAUUUUAAUCUAAUCUAAUCUAAUUCAAAUCAUUCUAUCCAAUUCUAUUCCAUCCCAUCCCAUCCUAUCCUAUCCUAUCCUAUCCUAUCCUAUCCUAUCCUAUCCUAUCCUAUCCUAUCCUAUCCUAUCCUAUCCCAUCCUAUCCUACCCUACCCUAUCCUAUCCCAUCCCAUCCUAACCUAUCCUACCUACUCUAUUCUAUCCUGUCCUGUCCUGUCCUAUGCUAUGCUUUCCUAUCCUAUGUUAUCCCAUCCCAUCCUAUCGCAUCCUAUCCCACCCUAUCCUGUCGCUAUCCUAUCCUAUCCUAUCCUAUCCUAUCCUAUCCUAUCCCCUCCCCUCUCCUCCCCUCAUUUACUCUCGCCUCCUCUCCUCUUCUUUCAUCUCCUCUCCUCUCCCAUCCCAUCGCAUCCCAUCCCAUCCCAUCCCAUCCUAUCCUAGCCCCUAACGUCCUCUCGCCGCCGAUCUCCUCCCCUCCUCNNNNNNNNNNNNNNNNNNNNNNNNNNNNNNNNNNNNNUCCUAUCCUAUCCUAUCCUAUCCUAUCCUAUCCUAUCCUAUCCUAUCCUAUCCUAUCCUAUCCUAUCUUAUCCUAUCCUAUCCUAUCCUAUCCUAUCCUAUCCUAUCCUAUCCUAUCCUAUCCUAUCCUACCAUACUCUGCUCUCUACCCUGCCCUAUCCUACUCAAUCCUGUAUUAUCUA